CCUACGGGAGGCAGCAGUAAGGAAUAUUGGUCAAUGGAGGCAACUCUGAACCAGCCAUGCCGCGUGCAGGAAGACAGCCCUCUGGGUCGUAAACUGCUUUUAUUCGGGAAUAAACCUUAUUACGUGUAAUAAGCUGAAUGUACCGAAGGAAUAAGGAUCGGCUAACUCCGUGCCAGCAGCCGCGGUAAUACGGAGGAUCCAAGCGUUGUCCGGAUUUAUUGGGUUUAAAGGGUGCGUAGGCGGCUUAUUAAGUCAGGGGCGAAAGACGGUGGCUCAACCAUCGCAGUGCCUUUGAUACUGAUGAGCUUGAAUGAACUAGAGGUAGGCGGAAUGUGACAAGUAGCGGUGAAAUGCAUAGAUAUGUCACAGGACACCGAUUGCGAAGGCAGCUUACUAUGGUUUUAUUGACGCUGAGGCACGAAAGCGUGGGGAUCAAACAGGAUUAGAUACCCUGGUAGUCCACGCCCUAAACGAUGAAUACUCGCUGUUAGCGAUAUACAGUUAGCGGCUAAGCGAAAGCGUUAAGUAUUCCACCUGAGGAGUACGCCCGCAAGGGUGAAACUCAAAGGAAUUGACGG
This 578-nucleotide ribosomal RNA is filed under the name uncultured bacterium. Its description in RNAcentral is "bacterial SSU rRNA". It matches the Rfam family "Bacterial small subunit ribosomal RNA", at positions 338 to 916 of the family's 1533-position model. The record is from RNAcentral.